Molecule: ribosomal RNA, 406 nt
Filed under: uncultured bacterium
Lineage: Bacteria
Description: partial 16S ribosomal RNA
Rfam family: Bacterial small subunit ribosomal RNA
Source: RNAcentral
AUUGAACGCUGGCGGCAGGCCUAACACAUGCAAGUCGAGCGAGCGGCGGACGGGUGAGUAAUGUCUGGGAAACUGCCUGAUGGAGGGGGAUAACUACUGGAAACGGUGGCUAAUACCGCAUACCAUCCGAUGAGCCCAGAUGGGAUUAGCUAGUAGGUGGGGUAAUGGCUCACCUAGGCGACGAUCCCUAGCUGGUCUGAGAGGAUGACCAGCCACACUGGGACUGAGACACGGUCCAGACUCCUACGGGAGGCAGCAGUGGGGAAUAUUGCACAAUGGGCGCAAGCCUGAUGCAGCCAUGCCGCGUGUGUGAAGAAGGCCUUCGGGUUGUAAAGCACUUUCAGCGGGGAGGCGUUACCCGCAGAAGAAGCACCGGCUAACUCCGUGCCAGCAGCCGCGGUAAUUC